Molecule: ribosomal RNA, 253 nt
Filed under: uncultured bacterium
Lineage: Bacteria
Description: partial 16S ribosomal RNA
Rfam family: Bacterial small subunit ribosomal RNA
Source: RNAcentral
UACGGAGGGGACUAGCGUUGUUCGGAAUUACUGGGCGUAAAGCGCACGUAGGCGGAUUUGUAAGUCAGGGGUGAAAUCCCGGGGCUCAACCUCGGAACUGCCUUUGAUACCGCAAAUCUCGAGUCCGGAAGAGGUGAGUGGAAUUCCUAGUGUAGAGGUGAAAUUCGUAGAUAUUAGGAAGAACACCAGUGGCGAAGGCGGCUCACUGGUCCGGUACUGACGCUGAGGUGCGAAAGCGUGGGGAGCGAACAGG